CCUGAUGCAGCAACGCCGCGUGAGGGACGAAGGCCUUCGGGUUGUAAACCUCUUUUAGUAGGGAAGAAGCGAAAGUGACGGUACCUGCAGAAAAAGCACCGGCUAACUACGUGCCAGCAGCCGCGGUAAUACGUAGGGUGCAAGCGUUGUCCGGAAUUAUUGGGCGUAAAGAGCUCGUAGGCGGUUUGUCGCGUCUGCUGUGAAAACUGGAGGCUCAACCUCCAGCCUGCAGUGGGUACGGGCAGACUAGAGUGCGGUAGGGGAGAUUGGAAUUCCUGGUGUAGCGGUGGAAUGCGCAGAUAUCAGGAGGAACACCGAUGGCGAAGGCAGAUCUCUGGGCCGUAACUGACGCUGAGGAGCGAAAGCAUGGGGAGCGAACAGGAUUAGAUACCCUGGUAGUCCAUGCCGUAAACGUUGGGAACUAGAUGUAGGGGCCAUUCCACGGUUUCUGUGUCGCAGCUAACGCAUUAAGUUCCCCGCCUGGGGAGUACGGCCGCAAGGCUAAAACUCAAAGGAAUUGACGGGGGCCCGCACAAGCGGCGGAGCAUGCGGAUUAAUUCGAUGCAACGCGAAGAACCUUACCAAGGCUUGACAUAUACCGGAAACGGCUAGAGAUAGUCGCCCCGCAAGGUC
RNAcentral lists this ribosomal RNA (633 nucleotides) under Microbacteriaceae bacterium Se1Pt_295. Its description in RNAcentral is "bacterial SSU rRNA". It matches the Rfam family "Bacterial small subunit ribosomal RNA", at positions 382 to 1028 of the family's 1533-position model. The record is from RNAcentral. Lineage: Bacteria; Bacillati; Actinomycetota; Actinomycetes; Micrococcales; Microbacteriaceae.